GUGCCAGCCGCCGCGGUAAGACAGAGGGUGCAAACGUUGUUCGGAAUCACUGGGCGUAAAGCGCGUGUAGGCUGUUUGGCAAGUCGGAUGUGAAAUCCCACGGCUCAACCAUGGAAGUGCAUUCGAAACUGCCAAACUAGAGUUCUGGAGAGGAAGGCGGAAUACUCGGUGUAGAGGUGAAAUUCGUAGAUAUCGAGUGGAACACCGGUGGCGAAGGCGGCCUUCUGGACAGUGACUGACGCUGAAACGCGAAAGCGUGGGGAGCAAACAGGAUUAGAAACCCUAGUAGUCC
This 292-nucleotide ribosomal RNA is filed under the name uncultured bacterium. RNAcentral's name for it is "partial 16S ribosomal RNA". It matches the Rfam family "Bacterial small subunit ribosomal RNA", at positions 505 to 796 of the family's 1533-position model. The record is from RNAcentral.